UGGGGAAUAUUGCACAAUGGGCGGAAGCCUGAUGCAGCGACGCCGCGUGGGGGAUGACGGCCUUCGGGUUGUAAACCUCUUUCGACCCUGACGAAGCGCAAGUGACGGUAGGGGUAGAAGAAGCGCCGGCCAACUACGUGCCAGCAGCCGCGGUAAGACGUAGGGCGCAAGCGUUGUCCGGAUUUAUUGGGCGUAAAGAGCUCGUAGGCGGCUCGUUGCGUCGGCUGUGAAAACCCGCAGCUUAACUGUGGGCCUGCAGCCGAUACGGGCGGGCUGGAGUUCGGUAGGGGAGACUGGAAUUCCUGGUGUAGCGGUGAAAUGCGCAGAUAUCAGGAGGAACACCGGUGGCGAAGGCGGGUCUCUGGGCCGAUACUGACGCUGAGGAGCGAAAGCGUGGGGAGCGAACAG
Molecule: ribosomal RNA, 408 nt
Filed under: uncultured bacterium
Lineage: Bacteria
Description: bacterial SSU rRNA
Rfam family: Bacterial small subunit ribosomal RNA
Source: RNAcentral